This 431-nucleotide ribosomal RNA is filed under the name uncultured bacterium. Its description in RNAcentral is "partial 16S ribosomal RNA". It matches the Rfam family "Bacterial small subunit ribosomal RNA", at positions 29 to 507 of the family's 1533-position model. The record is from RNAcentral.
AACGAACGCUGGCGGCAGGCCUAACACAUGCAAGUCGAGCGAGGACUUCGGUCCUAGCGGCGGACGGGUGAGUAACGCGUGGGAACGUGCCCUUUGCUUCGGAAUAGCCCUGGGAAACUGGGAGUAAUACCGGAUGAGCCCUUUGGGGGAAAGAUUUAUCGGCGAAGGAUCGGCCCGCGUUGGAUUAGGUAGUUGGUGGGGUAAUGGCCUACCAAGCCGACGAUCCAUAGCUGGUUUGAGAGGAUGAUCAGCCACACUGGGACUGAGACACGGCCCAGACUCCUACGGGAGGCAGCAGUGGGGAAUCUUAGACAAUGGGGGAAACCCUGAUCUAGCCAUGCCGCGUGAGCGAUGAAGGCCUUAGGGUUGUAAAGCUCUUUCAGCGGAAGAUAAUGACGGUACCAGCAGAAGAAGCCCCGGCUAACUCCGUG